GACGAACGCUGGCGGCGUGCCUAAUACAUGCAAGUUGAGCGCUGAAGGUUGGUACUUGUACCAACUGGAUGAGCAGCGAACGGGUGAGUAACGCGUGGGGAAUCUGCCUUUGAGCGGGGGACAACAUUUGGAAACGAAUGCUAAUACCGCAUAAAAACUUUAAACACAAGUUUUAAGUUUGAAAGAUGCAAUUGCAUCACUCAAAGAUGAUCCCGCGUUGUAUUAGCUAGUUGGUGAGGUAAAGGCCCACCAAGGCGAUGAUACAUAGCCGACCUGAGAGGGUGAUCGGCCACAUUGGGACUGAGACACGGCCCAAACUCCUACGGGAGGCAGCAGUAGGGAAUCUUCGGCAAUGGACGAAAGUCUGACCGAGCAACGCCGCGUGAGUGAAGAAGGUUUUCGGAUCGUAAAACUCUGUUGGUAGAGAAGAACGUUGGUGAGAGUGGAAAGCUCAUCAAGUGACGGUAACUACACAGAAAGGGACGGCUAACUACGUG
Molecule: ribosomal RNA, 497 nt
Filed under: uncultured bacterium
Lineage: Bacteria
Description: partial 16S ribosomal RNA
Rfam family: Bacterial small subunit ribosomal RNA
Source: RNAcentral